AAAACGUGUGUGAGGUAUUUUGGACCAUUCGAAAUAUUGAAGAAGGUACUGAUCUCCAUGAAAAGCGGAAUGAUACAAGACAGACACUCACUGAUUAUGAAAUUGAUCUACCUCGUGACAUAUUCACUAAACUAGAGGACAAAGUAAAAACUACCAGAUCGGUCGAUAUUCUAAAUAUGAUAGUCGUUCAGUUAACCUUUUAUGAGGAAAUUUUUAACCUCAGACAAGAAACUGUCCCCUGUGAAUGUCAACGGCUAUUAAAAGCAUGGUUAGAUCGACUAGAAACAUGGGUGUUUUUAAGGCGAGGCAGAUAUGCAAGGCAAGAACAUAAUGAAUUUUACCUAGAAAUACGACGACUGCAACUUACACUUGAUAUUCAUAAAUUUAAAACAGAACUCUACGAACGCGAUGAAGGACUCGCAUUCCCUGAUAAUACUCAAAAUUACUUGCUUAAACUUGAAUCUAUUGGAGUCGUGGAAGAAGAAUAAUUAUCUAAAAUGAGAAAGGAAACAGAAGAAGUCUCUUCUAGAAUGAUUGGUCUUACACUUAAAGAGAAGCAAAUAAUAAAACGAGCCAUGGAGAAUGAAUUUAUGGGAUCGGGAUAUUGGUACAAAUGUAAAAAAGGGCAUUAUUAUUCUAUAGGAGAAUGUGGUAUGCUUAUGGAGAAAAUAAAAUGUCCGCAGUGUGGUUUGGCAAUAGGAGGUGCUGAUCAUAUUCUAACUGAUGACAAUGAGAGAGCUAUGAAUUUUGAAAAUCUUUAAAAUAUUCCAUUGAGUUAUAUUCUUUUCUCGUAAUUAUCAGUUCAUUAUGCAUAUUUUUUAAUGAGGUAGAGUGUACAUAUUAUAAGCUCUAUGAACAAAUAUUUAUUCGCACGGCCAGUUGUUCUGCUUUCAUAAUCAACAAUGACGUCAAAAUCAUAUGAAAAGUACGUAGAAGUCAUAAGGUAUUAGUCUUAAGCUAGCUGGAGUAGUCAAUCGGAAAGCGUUUGUUUUUGGAAUAUCUGGAGUAUUUGAUUUUUUUUUUUGGUGGACAGGGAAAUAUGGUAAGAGUCUGUUAACUUCCAGAAAAACCAUGAUGUCUUAUUUCGUGCUUUUUUAUACAUCUAGCAUCCAUCUUUAGCUUAUCUUUUGCAGAAAUGUAUAUGCAUAUAAUUUUCAUUUUUAAAAUAAAAUGAAGAAAAUAUUAUGCAAUCUGCCUGGAGAUAUCAUUUAAAAUUAUUGAAUUCUGACUUUGAUGGGAGUUCCCUGACACUAUCAGAAAGAAUUCCUAAAGGACAGUACAGCAGAAUGUACAUUAUGAUAUGAAGUUAAUGUCAAUGGAACAGCAGCCUUAGGAUACAUCAAUACAUCAAAAAAGAUCAACAUACUGUUAUCAACCGUUAUGUAUAUUAACAGCAAAUAAGAAUCACAUAUCGUUUUUUUUUUUCAUUUAUAUAUAAGAGGUUUAUUAGGUUAUGAUUUAUUGUACUAAACUGCAUGUAUAAAAUAAUGAUUUUUUUUAUGUCUUCCUGACGCAUUUGUUAUAAUUUUAUACAUUUUACACCAAAUCAAAAUGUAUGACAUGAAUAGCAAUGGUUCAUUUGAUAUGUAUUUUUUUCACACAAUAAUAUAUUUGUAUAAUAUCAUAUCAUAGACCAAAAUCCACGUUUGCAAUGUUUCAUUUUCUGUUUUUAGUCAUAUUGGUAUGCAUGAUAAGUUUAAUAAUAAGUAUUUUUACAGAGAACAAACAACAAUAAAAAAAACAAAAUUUUAAGUCUAUUAAAUAAAGAUAUACCAAUCCAACUAAAUUAACCUUUUUUAGGAUAGAUUGCAAUCCUACUGUAAUCACACAAAGAUCCCAUGUUUCGUUUUGGUCUUGCUAAUUUACUACUAGUUAUGCCUGAAUUCGUUUCAUCUAGACAGCAGUUUACAUAUCAUGCCCAACAUAACCAUACAUGUUUGCAUUAUUUACAUGAAUCUAUGUAAUCAUCUUGACUCUCUCAACUUAACCGAAUUGUUUAUUAUCAAAACCUCCUUUUUUAGGGUUAACUCUUUUGCUUCAUACUUAAUUAUAUUAUCAAACGACUUUAAUUUGUUUAUUGAGUUAAUUAAUUGUUUCAAAAUUGUAACAUGUUUAUAACGUUUAUGUCAGUAUCAUGCUUUUAUUCUAUAAAAAAUCAUAUUUCCUAUACAAAGACACUUUAUUAUGGUUUUUUUACCAAAUAAGGAAGAGAAUGAACGAUAACAUUAAUUAUCAAAGUAAUCAAGUACGUAUGUAAUUAUUUUGAUUGUGUAACUUAAUGAGCAGGAAUUAAAAAUCGAACAUUA
Molecule: long non-coding RNA, 2306 nt
Organism: Mytilus californianus (California mussel)
Lineage: Eukaryota; Metazoa; Mollusca; Bivalvia; Mytilida; Mytilidae
Exons: 2
Source: RefSeq, a predicted model, not a curated record